RNAcentral lists this ribosomal RNA (493 nucleotides) under uncultured bacterium. Its description in RNAcentral is "bacterial SSU rRNA". It matches the Rfam family "Bacterial small subunit ribosomal RNA", at positions 28 to 524 of the family's 1533-position model. The record is from RNAcentral.
GAUGAACGCUAGCGGGAGGCCUAACACAUGCAAGCCGAGCGGUAUUGUUUCUUCGGAAAUGAGAGAGCGGCGUACGGGUGCGGAACACGUGUGCAACCUGCCUUUAUCUGGGGGAUAGCCUUUCGAAAGGAAGAUUAAUACUCCAUAACAUAUUGAACGGCAUCGUUUAAUAUUGAAAGCUCAGGCGGAUAGAGAUGGGCACGCGCAAGAUUAGCUAGUUGGUGAGGUAACGGCUCACCAAGGCAAUGAUCUUUAGGGGGCCUGAGAGGGUGAUCCCCCAACUGGUACUGAGACACGGACCAGACUCCUACGGGAGGCAGCAGUGAGGAAUAUUGGUCAAUGGGGUCAAGCCUGAACCAGCCAUCCCGCGUGAAGGACGACUGCCCUAUGGGUUAUAAACUUCUUUGUAUAGGGAUAAACCUUUCCACGUGUGGAAAGCUGAAGGUACUAUACGAAUAAGCACCGGCUAACUCCGUGCCAGCAGCCGGGUAAU